Molecule: non-coding RNA, 874 nt
Organism: Chrysemys picta bellii (western painted turtle)
Lineage: Eukaryota; Metazoa; Chordata; Testudines; Emydidae
Source: RefSeq, a predicted model, not a curated record
CCUGCGCCCCUGCCCGGGAUAGGGGGGUGCUGGGUGUGUUCAGGGGCUCGGUGAGCUCGCUGCUUGGGCGAAGGGUGGCUGCAGCCCUGCUGGGAUGCUGCACUUGAGCAGCCAGCGCCCAGCUGUGAGCUCUGCUGCCUGCCGAUCCCACCCCCGCCCUGGAGCUGCUCAGGCGGUGGGAUUGCUUCCAGUUUCUUGCAGCGAAGGAGGCUUGUUCUCUCCUGCUCAGGAUGAGGUGUGGGGAAGCUGCCUAAUCCGUGAGAUGUGUUAUGUCUUAACCUUUUAUAUAAAAAAGGUGUAGAAGUUUGUAAAGAGUGCAAUAUCUGAUGGUCCAGGGACAUCUACAUCGAGCACAUCACCAGCCACCGACAGUACCAGGAGGCGUGAGCUAGAGUAACAUCAUUCUUCCACUACGAGAAAGGGACCAAGUGACCUUCUCCGUUGGAUCAUAUGAACUGGAACCAUAAACUCCCUAAACAUUAAAUCUCACCAAAUGAGGGUCAAUCCAUCCUCAUCAUCAUAUCAACUCAUUAUACUCCAUAACCGAACACAAUCACUCUAUGAACUUCAUACCCUCAUAUCUCAAUGUCUGUACUUUGACCCAUCAAGCUUUUACCCCCAAUCGGGGAUAUUGCAGAUUAUGUAUUCCUCAUGCCACCUGAUCUUAAACCAAACUUUGCACCCUCAAUAAUCUGUAUGUUAUUCCCUGAUAACCAGAAAUGUCUAUGCUCAAACUCUGUUCACAAAUUUUUUUUUAACCUCUUAAUAAAAUUUUAAAAUUUGUUGUGGGGUGGUAGCUAGCUUCCAAGGAAGGCUUUCAGCUGUUUGUCAAGUAAGCUUUUGUUUGGAAAUAAAGGAGCAGUAAGGGUGCAAA